GUUAGUUAAUACCAUAUAUGGAAUACGUACGACAACCCUACCACAAUCUCAAUAACACUCUUGUGUGGCAGUAUACUUGCGUUAUAAAAGCUGUUGACGUUACUUGAUCACAUAGCCAUCGAGAUUGAGUGUAUGGACUGAUAAUAGAUUGAAAAUUCAGAAAGACAGGGAAGUACAGAGCUUCUUAGAAAGCAUUUACUUGAAGAUUGAUUGAUGAAAAGAUAGCGGCGGAGCCCUAAUGAAUAAGCUCAUGUUGUUCUAAAGGAGAACGAGAUCAACAAGUUACAAGGCUCACUAGAUGUUACGAAUUCUUUGGUAGAUGAAUUUAGGAACAAGGUACGAGAUCUAAGUGGAUUAUAUAUUCUGAUGAUUCGAUCACCGCUAUAGUUUUAGUUGGCUAAUUUUCUUAUCAUUUUCUCUAAGUCGAGGUUUAAAUCAGACGAGCUAGAGAAUCUUCGAGCUGAAGUCUCUUCUUAUAGGAGUAGGACAGAUAGGGAGCUUUUACAGGUAUGAACUUAAAAGCCGGACGGCGUUUUUCCGCGAAAUACAAGGUCCUCUUAAAAUGUAGGACAUGGAAAAUCUUAUGCCCUAACUCUUGGGUAUAUAGUUAAUUAAGUAAGUUAUAGGUUCUACAAAAAACAUAAAUACUGAAAGCAUUCAGUAGUAGUAUUGUAUAGAAUGCAUUAUAAAGCUGAGGCGUAUUUUUAGGCAAGUUUCAACUCUAAUGAAACGCAAGUUUUAAAAGAUAAGAUAAAAGAACUUGAAUCCAAAUUACAAGAGCAGAAAGCACAGGUAAAAAGUAGUUCAUAGAUGAGUCACCAGGGCUCGAAAUAACGGCCAGACAUAUGCAGGACAAGAUGUCCCUCUAAAUUCAAUUUUGGAAGGUUAUGUCGAAUUUUGA
RNAcentral lists this unclassified non-coding RNA (901 nucleotides) under Exaiptasia diaphana. Its description in RNAcentral is "uncharacterized LOC110231716, transcript variant X3". Lineage: Eukaryota; Metazoa; Cnidaria; Anthozoa; Actiniaria; Aiptasiidae. The record is from RNAcentral.